UCCCCUCUUUACUUGUCUUAAUGACGCCUCGAGUUUCAAGCUGCUCCCCUUCGUUUCCUUUCUAUAAAUAGGGUGUUUGUUGCUUGGAUUUCUCAUUCCUCCCUUCUUUCGCGAUGAGCAUCCAGGAUGUCCUCGAGGAUUAUGGCCAUGAGGUGCAGCUUCAGCACGUUGCAUGGGCCUUGUGCCUGCUGAUGCCCACCGAGGUCUCCAACCAUGUGGCCGCGGCAGAGACUCAGCGUCUCAACACUGUGCCGAUAGAUAUCCACCGCCGCCGCUCUCAGUAUCGCCGCUCUGAU
RNAcentral lists this long non-coding RNA (296 nucleotides) under Zostera marina. Its description in RNAcentral is "long non-coding RNA (ZMAR_LNC003551)". Lineage: Eukaryota; Viridiplantae; Streptophyta; Magnoliopsida; Alismatales; Zosteraceae. The record is from RNAcentral.